This 46-nucleotide non-coding RNA is filed under the name Trichobilharzia regenti. Lineage: Eukaryota; Metazoa; Platyhelminthes; Trematoda; Strigeidida; Schistosomatidae. The record is from RNAcentral.
GUGCUGUUGAAGAGUCCCAAACUAGGACGAAACAGUCGUCCAGUAC